RNAcentral lists this long non-coding RNA (2465 nucleotides) under Salvia miltiorrhiza (redroot sage). RNAcentral's name for it is "long non-coding RNA (SMIL_LNC007857)". The record is from RNAcentral. Lineage: Eukaryota; Viridiplantae; Streptophyta; Magnoliopsida; Lamiales; Lamiaceae.
AAAUUUUACCCUAGUAGCGUCGAAUUUACAUUGAAUUUUGGAUCCUUGUACAUUUCUCCAAAAGUAUGUGAAGCUUUGUCCACAACGGCCUUUUUCACCUCAUUUUCCUCCCACGCCAAAAUGGAUGCACAAUACCGUAUGCGCAUCCUUGAGAAUUGUUGUGGUCGUUUACUAAAUAUGUUGCAUUUCCAGCCCUGCGUGCCAUCACCCAUGAAUGAACAAAUAUGAUGUAAUCACACAUAAUUUAUACACAUUAUAGAGUAAAUUAAUGAUCAAUGAUUAAAUUUCAAACCUAGAUCAAUACUUUUGUACACCAAACCAGAAUCCAUGAUAUAACGAAUGACUUAUACACAAAAAUAGAAUAAUUGAACAAUUUUCAAACUUAGUUGAAUAAACUAAUACAGUAAGUGAAUUUACUCCAUAAUUUUCUGAGUGUUCUCACCACUGACAUAUUAAAUUCAACGAAAUUCCAUUUCAAUAUGCACUUAAUUAGUUCAUAAGAUAGUUUCUAAAUAACAUAUCAAACAUACUGAACAUAAUAAUACAUUUUCUGAACAAACAUAACAAAUAUUCUAAAUAACAACUUCUACUUUCUGAAUAACUUAACAAAUACACCGAUCACAUAAUAAUUACCUUAUACCCAAUUAAUAAAAAUAUCUUACGAAUAACACAACAAACAUACUGAACAACAACACGAUGUAUACUGAAUAAACUGUACAAAUAUUAUGAAUAACUACAACUAUUUUUGAAUAACCUGAAAAAUAUACUGAAUAACUUAGUAUAAUUUCUAUAUAACUUAACAAAUACUUCUUAAUAAUAGAAAAACCUAAAUUAGAUAUAAGAGGAAUACCUCAAGCAGUUUCCAAUAGAGUGGGUAGGGAAAAACAUACCUAACAAAAAUAGUUUAAACUAAAAAUUGAAAAGACAGGAAAACACUCUAAUUUGGGCGGCUUACCAGAACAUGUACUCCCUUAUCCUUGAGUACCCUAUAGUUUGUCAUCAGCUGCUUCAACUUAUUGGAAGAGUGAAUUUGAUAAAGCAACAAGAGAAUUAGAAAAUGGGCAAAGGAUUUGAAGUUGAAAAGGAAAAAGAGAAAUAUUUCUUCUUACUAAUAACAAGUCUGAAAAGAAAACACCUAAAAUAAUAUAGAUAACUCACCAAAAGAGAGUCCAGUAUCCAUGGAAGAAUGCAUCGAAAAGCAUCAGAAAAUACUGCAAACAUUGUUUUUAAAGAUAAAUACAUCAUGGCAAAAAAUACUACAUUUAUCUAUAACAGCAGUCAGCAGCAAAAGAUCCCGUGUCAAAGGCACUCAUAUCUUGUACAUCUAUUGUCACAGCCCAAAACCGUUUAGUUCCUUUGCAAAUUUUAUUUGGAAAUUAUUAUAUUUUCGAAUUAUUAAUAUAUAUAAAUCUAUGAGUCGAAUUUAUGAACAUGUUUAGUCGCGCCCCUAGUUAGAUAAAUAAAUUUAGAUUAUAGAUUAUGACUUUAGCAAUAAAAAGAAAUUUUGUGCUCCAAGAUACUAAUAAAAUUUUGAGGCCUAAAUAAAUAUUUUUCUAUAUAUUGGGCUUUAUUUAAUUAUUUUUGCUUUUUGGGCUACCAUUUAAUAAUAGCCCGUAAUUUGAAUUGUAAAACAAGUAGAUUGUGAGUAUUAACUUGAAUUGAUUCUUAAUUCCCAGUUGGAUUACGUGGUCUUUCCUUUAUUCAGCCACAUUUGACAUUUUAUUCUUAGCCACGUAUCAUUUGUAUCAUUUCAAAUCGCAGUUUUAACCACCACGUAUCAUUCCAAAACCUAUCUCAUUUAAAUUCAUCCAUCAGCUAUAAUCAAUUUCAUUUUUCAGCAAUUUUUAACUCGUCUUCGUUCUGCAGAGGUAAUUUUAUUGAUUUUGAAAAUUCUAGCAAACAUCCAGCAUGAGAUAAUUUAUGUUUAUUUUCAGUAAUAAUUCACCUUUCUGCAUUAAAAAUCAAAAGAAAAAGAAAGAAUAAAAUGGAAUUAGAAACACAGAAGUAGAGUGGAGAUGGGGAAUUGUUGGUGAGCGGAUACUGGACAGACGUGAAGCGAGAGAGGCGGCUGAACGGCGCCGCCGGGCGCUGCCUGCGCCACGGCGGCCGGCGAAGAGGAAACAGGGAGGCGGCGACGGUGGUUGGGCGGCAUCAGAUCUAGAAAAGGGGAGGCGGCGGCUGGGCUGUGCUGCUGUCAACGCGGAGGCGGCGAUGGUGGCAGCUGCCGUCGACCAGAAGAGGGAGAAAUGAGAGGAGUGGUAGGUACUGACAAGGCGGCGGGAGUCACCGGAGAAGGGAGAUGGCCGCGGCAAGGCGCGGCGAGGAGAAGGGCAGAGGGGGCGAGAAAUGAGGAAGAGGGAGAGAGGUUGAGGAGAGGACAGGGGGAGCCAGAGCCGCCGGCCUCCGGCGGCGGCAGGAGGCCGAGAAGAGGAGAGGGAGAGAAGGAGAGAGAGAGUGAGGCUGCG